GACGAACGCUGGCGGCGUGCCUAAUACAUGCAAGUCGAACGAACUCUGGUAUUGAUUGGUGCUUGCAUCAUGAUUUACAUUUGAGUGAGUGGCGAACUGGUGAGUAACACGUGGGAAACCUGCCCAGAAGCGGGGGAUAACACCUGGAAACAGAUGCUAAUACCGCAUAACAACUUGGACCGCAUGGUCCGAGUUUGAAAGAUGGCUUCGGCUAUCACUUUUGGAUGGUCCCGCGGCGUAUUAGCUAGAUGGUGAGGUAACGGCUCACCAUGGCAUGAUACGUAGCCGACCUGAGAGGGUAAUCGGCCACAUUGGGACUGAGACACGGCCCAAACUCCUACGGGAGGCAGCAGUAGGGAAUCUUCCACAAUGGACGAAAGUCUGAUGGAGCAACGCCGCGUGAGUGAAGAAGGGUUUCGGCUCGUAAAACUCUGUUGUUAAAGAAGAACAUAUCUGAGAGUAACUGUUCAGGUAUUGACGGUAUUUAACCAGAAAGCCACGGCUAACUACGUGCCAGCAGCCGCGGUAAUACGUAGGUGGCAAGCGUUGUCCGGAUUUAUUGGGCGUAAAGCGAGCGCAGGCGGUUUUUUAAGUCUGAUGUGAAAGCCUUCGGCUCAACCGAAGAAGUGCAUCGGAAACUGGGAAACUUGAGUGCAGAAGAGGACAGUGGAACUCCAUGUGUAGCGGUGAAAUGCGUAGAUAUAUGGAAGAACACCAGUGGCGAAGGCGGCUGUCUGGUCUGUAACUGACGCUGAGGCUCGAAAGUAUGGGUAGCAAACAGGAUUAGAUACCCUGGUAGUCCAUACCGUAAACGAUGAAUGCUAAGUGUUGGAGGGUUUCCGCCCUUCAGUGCUGCAGCUAACGCAUUAAGCAUUCCGCCUGGGGAGUACGGCCGCAAGGCUGAAACUCAAAGGAAUUGACGGGGGCCCGCACAAGCGGUGGAGCAUGUGGUUUAAUUCGAAGCUACGCGAAGAACCUUACCAGGUCUUGACAUACUAUGCAAAUCUAAGAGAUUAGACGUUCCCUUCGGGGACAUGGAUACAGGUGGUGCAUGGUUGUCGUCAGCUCGUGUCGUGAGAUGUUGGGUUAAGUCCCGCAACGAGCGCAACCCUUAUUAUCAGUUGCCAGCAUUAAGUUGGGCACUCUGGUGAGACUGCCGGUGACAAACCGGAGGAAGGUGGGGAUGACGUCAAAUCAUCAUGCCCCUUAUGACCUGGGCUACACACGUGCUACAAUGGAUGGUACAACGAGUCGCGAACUCGCGAGAGUAAGCUAAUCUCUUAAAGCCAUUCUCAGUUCGGAUUGUAGGCUGCAACUCGCCUACAUGAAGUCGGAAUCGCUAGUAAUCGCGGAUCAGCAUGCCGCGGUGAAUACGUUCCCGGGCCUUGUACACACCGCCCGUCACACCAUGAGAGUUUGUAACACCCAAAGUCGGUGGGGUAACCUUUUAGGAACCAGCCGCCUAAGGUGGGACAGAUGAUUAGGGUG
RNAcentral lists this ribosomal RNA (1488 nucleotides) under Levilactobacillus yonginensis. RNAcentral's name for it is "bacterial SSU rRNA". It matches the Rfam family "Bacterial small subunit ribosomal RNA". The record is from RNAcentral. Lineage: Bacteria; Bacillati; Bacillota; Bacilli; Lactobacillales; Lactobacillaceae.